RNAcentral lists this unclassified non-coding RNA (343 nucleotides) under soil metagenome. Its description in RNAcentral is "partial contains 5.8S ribosomal RNA, internal transcribed spacer 2, and large subunit ribosomal RNA". The stretch from base 1 to 120 matches the Rfam family "5.8S ribosomal RNA", at positions 35 to 154 of the family's 154-position model. The record is from RNAcentral.
GAUGAAGAACGCAGCGAAAUGCGAUAAGUAGUGUGAAUUGCAGAAUUCAGUGAAUCAUCGAAUCUUUGAACGCACAUUGCGGCCAUAGGUAUUCCUUUGGCCAUGCCUGUUCGAGCGUCAUUUACACCCUCAAGCCUAGCUUGGUGUUGGGCGUCUGUCCCGCCGUUUUCGCGCGCGGACUCGCCUCAAAGUCAUUGGCGGCGGUCGUGCCGGCCCCCUCGCGCAGCACAUUUGCGCUUCUCGGAGGCCCGGCGGAUCCGCGCUCCAGCAAGACCUUUCACGACUUGACCUCGGAUCAGGUAGGGAUACCCGCUGAACUUAAGCAUAUCAAUAAGCGGGAGGA